AGCAGCCGCGGUAAUUCCAGCUCCAAUAGCGUAUAUUAAAGUUGUUGCAGUUAAAAAGCUCGUAGUUGAGUUUUGGAUUCUACCAAUUGGUCCAUCUUUUAGAUGAGUACUGGUUGUGUGGGGUCUAUCCGCCUGGUGAUACGUAAUGUCCUUUAUUGGAUGUUGCGGGUAGUCAGGACCUUUACCUUGAAAAAAUUAGAGUGUUUAAAGCAGGCUUAUGCCGGAAUACAUUAGCAUGGAAUAAUAGAAUAGGACGAAGUUGUUUUAUUUUGUUGGUUUCUAGGACAACCGUAAUGAUUAAUAGGGAUAGUUGGGGGCAUUAGUAUUCAAUUGUCAGAGGUGAAAUUCUUGGAUUUAUUGAAGACUAACUACUGCGAAAGCAUUUGCCAAGGAUGUUUUCAUUAAUCAAGAACGAAAGUUAGGGGAUCGAAGACGAUCAGAUACCGUCGUAGUCUUAACCAUAAACUAUGCCGACUAGGGAUCGGGCGAUGUUGUUUCCAUGACUCGCUCGGCACCUUAU
Molecule: unclassified non-coding RNA, 520 nt
Filed under: uncultured Archaeospora
Lineage: Eukaryota; Fungi; Glomeromycota; Glomeromycetes; Archaeosporales; Archaeosporaceae
Description: SSU rRNA
Rfam family: Eukaryotic small subunit ribosomal RNA
Source: RNAcentral